Molecule: ribosomal RNA, 359 nt
Filed under: Shigella sp. FC1967
Lineage: Bacteria; Pseudomonadati; Pseudomonadota; Gammaproteobacteria; Enterobacterales; Enterobacteriaceae
Description: bacterial LSU rRNA
Rfam family: Bacterial large subunit ribosomal RNA
Source: RNAcentral
AGAGGGAAACAACCCAGACCGCCAGCUAAGGUCCCAAAGUCAUGGUUAAGUGGGAAACGAAGUGGGAAGGCUCAGACAGCCAGGAUGUUGGCUUAGAAGCAGCCAUCAUUUAAAGAAAGCGUAAUAGCUCACUGGUCGAGUCGGCGCGCGGAAGAUGUAACGGGGCUAAACCAUGCACCGAAGCUGCGGCAGCGACACUAUGUGUUGUUGGGUAGGGGAGCGUUCUGUAAGCCUGCGAAGGUGUACUGUGAGGUAUGCUGGAGGUAUCAGAAGUGCGAAUGCUGACAUAAGUAACGAUAAUGCGGGUGAAAAACCCGCACGCCGGAAGACCAAGGGUUCCUGUCCAACGUUAAUCGGGG